AACGAACGCUGGCGGCAGGCUUAACACAUGCAAGUCGAGCGAGACCUUCGGGUCUAGCGGCGGACGGGUGAGUAACGCGUGGGAACGUGCCCUUCUCUACGGAAUAGCCCCGGGAAACUGGGAGUAAUACCGUAUACGCCCUUUGGGGGAAAGAUUUAUCGGAGAAGGAUCGGCCCGCGUUGGAUUAGGUAGUUGGUGGGGUAAUGGCCCACCAAGCCGAAGAUCCAUAGCUGGUUUGAGAGGAUGAUCAGCCACACUGGGACUGAGACAAGGCCCAGACUCCUGAGGGAGGCAGCAGUGGGGAAUCUUAGACAAUGGGGGCAACCCUGAUCUAGCCAUGCCGCGUGAGUGAUGAAGGCCUUAGGGUUGUAAAGCUCUUUCAGCUGGGAAGAUAAUGACGGUACCAGCAGAAGAAGCCCCGGCUAACUCCGU
RNAcentral lists this ribosomal RNA (432 nucleotides) under uncultured bacterium. RNAcentral's name for it is "partial 16S ribosomal RNA". It matches the Rfam family "Bacterial small subunit ribosomal RNA", at positions 29 to 506 of the family's 1533-position model. The record is from RNAcentral.